GGGCGAUUAGCUCAGACGGUUAGAGCGCUUCUCUGAUAAGGAAGAGGUCCCAGGUUCGAGUCCUGGAUCGCCCA
This 74-nucleotide transfer RNA is filed under the name Thermoleophilaceae bacterium. RNAcentral's name for it is "tRNA-Ile". It matches the Rfam family "tRNA". Rfam says of the family: Transfer RNA (tRNA) molecules are approximately 80 nucleotides in length. Their secondary structure includes four short double-helical elements and three loops (D, anti-codon, and T loops). The record is from RNAcentral. Lineage: Bacteria; Bacillati; Actinomycetota; Thermoleophilia; Thermoleophilales; Thermoleophilaceae.